RNAcentral lists this long non-coding RNA (2711 nucleotides) under Salmo salar (Atlantic salmon). RNAcentral describes it as "lncRNA (ENSSSAG00000120276.1)". The record is from RNAcentral. Lineage: Eukaryota; Metazoa; Chordata; Actinopteri; Salmoniformes; Salmonidae.
CUCAGCUGCAUAAAAAACACAUAAAAUUAUAAAAUACAGCUUUAGGACACAUGUUCUGCUCUUACCUUGAAUGACACGUUCCAAAAUGGCACCCUGUUCCCUUUAUAAAGGGCCCAGGUCAAAAGUAGGGCACUACAUAGGGAAAAGGGUGCCCUUUGGGACACGGCCUUUGUGUAAUGUCAUGAGAAGGGUAGGACUGGGACAAUUAACUUGGGAUUGAUGACAUGCGCACGCAAAGUGAGGGGAAUGAAAUAAAAGGCUACAUUUCCUCACUAGAUGGAAAACGGGAGGGUCGUGAGAAAAGUUAAUUUAAUCUUCUUUUGGAAAAUAUUUCUCGCUAACCAAAAAAAGAAAUUGCAUGAAUGUGAUUAAUUUGAGUGAUCUGGGUUAGCUACAGGGUUAGUGUUGAUUGAAAUGUAGGCUACCUUAUAAGUAUGAUACAUAUGUCUAGACGGGCUUUUCACCCGCUUCCCUUUUCACUUUGAAAUGGAGGAUUAUAUAGAUCAGGCUGGAAAAACAUGAAUUUAAUACAUAUACAUUCCAGACGGAAAGGCAAUCAACUGGGAAAACACGAACGGUUAAAGGUAUAUCCUUUCUAUAGUUAGUGACUGUACGUCUGUGGGGCUCCUCGUUCCCUCCUAUGUAGGGGAAUAGAGGAGGGGUGAAUAGAGAAGGGGUGAAGAGAGGAGGGAUGAAGAGAGGAGGGAUGAAGAGAGGAGGGAUGAAGGGGUGAAUAGAGAAGGGGUGAAGAGAGGAGGGAUGAAGGGGUGAAUAGAGAAGGGGUGAAGAGAGGAGGGAUGAAGGGGUGAAUAGAGAAGGGGUGAAGAGAGGAGGGAUGAAGGGGUGAAUAGAGAAGGGAUGAAGGGGUGAAUAGAGGAGGGAUGAGUAGAGGAGGGAUGAAGGGGUGAGUAGAGGAGGGAUGAAGGGGUGAAUAGAGGAGGGUUGAAGGGGUGAAUAGAGUAGGGAUGAGUAGAGGAGGGAUGAAGGGGUGAGUAGAGGAGGGAUGAGUAGAGGAGGGAUGAAGGGGUGAGUAGAGGAGGGAUGAAGGGAUGAAUAGAGGGGUGAAGUGAUGAACAGAUGAGGGAUGAAGGGGUGAGUAGAGGAGUGAUGAGGGGGUGAGUAGAGGAGGGAUGAAGGGAUGAAUAGAGAAGGGGUGAGUAGAGGAGGGAUGGAGGGGUGAGUAGAGGAGGGGUGAAUGAGUGAAUAGAGAAGGGGUGAAUAGAGGAGGGAUGAAGGGGUGAACAGAGGAGGGAUGAAGGAGUGAAUAGAGGAGGGAUGAAGUGGUGAAUAAAGGAGGGAUAAAGGGAUGAAUAGAGGGGUGAAGUGAUGAACAGAUGAGGGAUGAAGGGGUGAGUAGAGGAGGGAUGAAGGGGUGAAUAGAGGAGGGAUGAAGGGGUGAAUAGAGGAGGAUUGAAAUGUCACCGUGCCAACAGUAAACUGUUUAAUCUACAGUGUUUUAUGAAUGACAUAUACAUUGCAAUCCCCCGAACCUCUCCCAACCCUCCAACUCAAAACCCACUCACAGUGCAGAGGUAGGCCCAUUCAGGCUUGCAGUGGAGUAGUAUAGACUAUCAAUCAGACCUGGCUAUGUCUCACCAUGGAGAAGACAGGCCAGAGUAGCCUAUGGAUCAGACCUGGCUAUAUCUCACCAUGGAGAAGACAGGCCAGAGUAGCCUAUGGAUCAGACCUGGCUAUAUCUCACCAUGGAGAAGACAGGCCAGAGUAGCCUAUGGAUCAGACCUGGCUAUAUCUCGCCAUGGAGAAGACAGGCCAGAGUAGCCUAUGGAUCAGACCUGGCUAUAGCUCACAGGGUAGGAAUGCCUAUGGUUCAAGCCUGCUUGACUGGCCAUCCUUCUCUCUGGAGAAACAAAGGCAGCCUAUAGCUAUAGCAGCCUGCGUUUCAGGGCAGGUCUAGCGAUCCAUUCUUCACAGUGAGGCCACAGUAUAGCAGCCUGUGGUUCAGGGCAGGUCUAGCGAUCCAUCCUUCACAGUGAGGCCACAGUAUAGCAGCCUGUGGUUCAGGGCAGGUCUAGCGAUCCAUCCUUCACAGUGAGGCCACAGUAUAGCAGCCUGUGGUUUAGGGCAGGUCUAGUGAUCCAUCCUUCACAGUGAGGCCACAGUAUAGCAGCCUGUGGUUCAGGGCAGGUCUAGUGAUCCAUCCUUCACAGUGAGGCCACAGUCUAGCAGCCUGUGGUUCAGGGCAGGUCUAGCAAGCCAUCCUUCACAGUGAGGCCACAGUAUAGCAACCUGUGGUUCAGGGCAGGUCUAGCAAGCCAUCCUUCACAGUGAGGCCAGAGUAUAGCAGCCUGUGGUUUAGGGCAGGUCUAGCAAGCCAUCCUUCACAGUGAGGCCACAGUAUAGCAGCCUGUGGUUCAGGGCAGGUCUAGCUAACCAUCCUUCACAGCGAGGCAGCCUCCCUAGCUACAGUAUAGCUCACAGUGGGAUAGAAAUGAAGGCCACAGUAUAGCAGGCUAUGUUUCAGGGCAGGGAGGCUGGCAGACCAUCCCUCACAGUGACUGAGCCUGGCACCGUAGCCUUGGCUGGGCACCGUGCCUCACCACAUUAACAAAAGUGGAAAAGUGCCACUGAAUCAGGGGCAGGGCUACUCACUGAGACACAUCAUACAUCACCCCUGGAGGAGAAUAUAGUGACUGGCUGUCUCAACCCGCCACGGACUACAUGUGGUAAAUACAUAUUUAUGAUAAUGCCAA